AGAGUUUNNCCUGGCUCAGGAUGAACGCUGGCGGCGUGCCUAAUACAUGCAAGUCGAGCGAAUGGAUUAAGAGCUUGCUCUUAUGAAGUUAGCGGCGGACGGGUGAGUAACACGUGGGUAACCUGCCCAUAAGACUGGGAUAACUCCGGGAAACCGGGGCUAAUACCGGAUAACAUUUUGAACCGCAUGGUUCGAAAUUGAAAGGCGGCUUCGGCUGUCACUUAUGGAUGGACCCGCGUCGCAUUAGCUAGUUGGUGAGGUAACGGCUCACCAAGGCAACGAUGCGUAGCCGACCUGAGAGGGUGAUCGGCCACACUGGGACUGAGACACGGCCCAGACUCCUACGGGAGGCAGCAGUAGGGAAUCUUCCGCAAUGGACGAAAGUCUGACGGAGCAACGCCGCGUGAGUGAUGAAGGCUUUCGGGUCGUAAAACUCUGUUGUUAGGGAAGAACAAGUGCUAGUUGAAUAAGCUGGCACCUGAC
Molecule: ribosomal RNA, 483 nt
Filed under: Bacillus sp. RKBH-B106
Lineage: Bacteria; Bacillati; Bacillota; Bacilli; Caryophanales; Bacillaceae
Description: bacterial SSU rRNA
Rfam family: Bacterial small subunit ribosomal RNA
Source: RNAcentral